Molecule: ribosomal RNA, 334 nt
Filed under: uncultured bacterium
Lineage: Bacteria
Description: bacterial SSU rRNA
Rfam family: Bacterial small subunit ribosomal RNA
Source: RNAcentral
CUCGUAGGCGGCUUUGCAAGUCGGGUGUAAAACCUCCAGGCUCAACCUGGAGCCGCCACUCGAUACUGCAAUGGCUAGAGUCCGGUAGGGGAUCACGGAAUUCCUGGUGUAGCGGUGAAAUGCGCAGAUAUCAGGAGGAACACCGGUGGCGAAGGCGGUGGUCUGGGCCGGAACUGACGCUGAGGAGCGAAAGCGUGGGGAGCGAACAGGAUUAGAUACCCUGGUAGUCCACGCCGUAAACGUUGGGCACUAGGUGUGGGACCCUAUCGACGGGUUCCGUGCCGCAGCUAACGCAUUAAGUGCCCCGCCUGGGGAGUACGGCCGCAAGGCUAAA